Motacilla alba alba is the source of this 5716-nucleotide long non-coding RNA. RefSeq lists it as uncharacterized. NCBI's taxonomy places the organism in Eukaryota, Metazoa, Chordata, Aves, Passeriformes, Motacillidae. The record is from RefSeq and is a predicted model, not a curated record. The transcript is spliced from 3 exons.
CGGGAGUGGCGGGCGCUGGGGUGGGAAGAGGAGGAGGAACGAGGGAGGGCUGCGCUCACGGGUGGAGUUGCGUAACGGGGGCUCCGGGCUGGAGGAGUGGACGCCGCUGAGGGAGGCGCCAUGUCCCACCGGCGGGGGGGGCAGUAGGCACGCUCGCACCCCCCCCGCCCUGCCCCGCCUCGGGCGUGGCGCUCUUGGCACAAGCGGAAAAUAAAGGCUUCCCGGAGCGGGAACGGGGCUGAGCGGGGCUGCGAGGGAGAUGCUUGGUUGGCGGGCAACGGUCGCACGGAAGGGCUGGGGCCGCCCCCGCCGUUGGUUUCGCCCACGCUCCCCGCCGCCUCCCCCGGGAGCCUGUGACAGGUGGAGCGGGCCCCGCCGGCGCGCGCGCGCCCUCGCGGCUGUCACGUGGCGCGGGGCCGCCGCGCGCGCUUCGCGCGAGACGCGCGGCAAAUCUCGCGAUGUCUCGAGGGCCUCAGGGCGUGAGGGCGGGGAGGGCCCGGCCCGGCCCGGCCCCGGCCGGAGCGGUGGGAAAAGCGCGAAGGAUGGAAAUGGCGACAACGGGGAAUUCGGGCUUCUGGGCACGCCUCGCGUGUGGAUCCUCACGUGUUUUCUGGUCCUGAUGGUGCAGAGACACUGGCAGGAAUGGAGACUGGUCAAGACAAAGUCUUAAAUAAUGCAAAUGAAGACUCAGAGUAGUGUGUCCGUGCCGCUCUUAAAAGCGGACUCUUGUAGCUCUGCUUUCUGAUGCAAAUGCAGGAAGAACAAAAAAAAAGUAUCUGGGUUCGAUGAUGUUGCAUUUCUUCAUAAAAGAGUCAGCAGCCAGUUUGUUGAGAGUAUUGGUAUAAGAGACAGGCAUUUGUGCUCAAAGGACUUGCAAGUUUGAAAUCCAGAUAAAACCCAAGGUAUUUUCGGUGCUGGGAAUGGGCCAUGGUCUGUGAAUAGGUGGAAGCACUGUGAUCAAACAGCUGUGUCCAUCUGUAUUGUCCGUGGUUCUCUGUCAGGGAUUUUCUCAGCAGAGUUUCCUCAGGUGCCAAAAUCAGUGCCAAGCGCCUGACUGGUUGGGAAUGUGCCAUAAAUGUGGGGUUUCAAUGCAGAUUGCUUCUCAGUCCUGACUCUCGGGCGUGAAGUUUCCACACUGCAGUAUCCUGGGUAUAAAUCAGCAGAAAGGAGAGUGGACAAAACCAUUUCUGAGUGGAAGAAAGGGACUGCUGAACAACAGAGCAAAUCAGGGGAGUGUAGAAGCAGAGUCCUGGUCCAGCUGAAACUCAAGUGCACCUGAAGUCACAACAGCUGAGUUACCUCUCUGGUACUGUCAGUGCCACUCUAAACCCUCUGUACCCUGUCUGAAUUGCUGGCAUUGAAUUUCCAGAUGCCCUUAUUUGUUUGUUUGUUUAUUUAUUUGCUGUCACUUCCAAGUCAGGUAGCAAAUCUGAAGGAGCAGUAGAUCAGUCCCUGUUGGAUACAACUGAAACCUCAUGUUCUUGUGUAGUCCAGGCAUACUUUAUAGCCAUCUGCAGCACGAUCCAUCCCUGGAAAAACUGUGGUGUUUGAAGCUGGAUCUAUCCGUCCCAAUUGGUUUGGUUUUCAUUCCUGCUCUUGGAAGUUCUGGGCAGCUGCAAGCCUUGACCAGCUAAAUGAGGGCAGAGGUCAUCUCCUUACCCGAGAGGCUGAGGAAGCUCAGGAGCCACGCGUGAUCUCUGCUGAUGCUGCUGUUUAAGAAAGGAUUUUGAGGUGUGGAGUCAAUGUUGUGCUCCCAAUAGCUCAGGAGGCCUCUGACUAUGAGGCAAAUCCUUUUGCAGCAGAGCAGGCAGAAUGUGAUGAGACAACCUUGGAUUCAUGUGACAACGUGCACGUAUUGAGAACAGCAAUGAAAAAAGCAGGCUGACCAACAGAACCCACAGGAUGCCAUCUUGUGUCCUACAAAACAUAAAUCUAAUACUUGCAUUGUUGCUAUCUUGAUAAAUUUUAGUCAACCUGCCUGAAAUACGUGGCUGUUUGGCAUGUGAGGGAAAGCAGCAUAAACUAGUAAAAUCUGCCCAUGGGUCAGUUAGGGAGAAAGCAGCCUCAUUAACACUUCUCUUUUUCUGCAUUUGUUUUCCUUACUGUUGUUUUCUUUUACUCCAAGGUAAGAGAAGAAAAGCUUAAAUUACUAAACUAUUUUCUUGAUUUUUGGAACAAAAAAUCCGGUGUGCUUCCUUUUUGUGCUCUAGCAGUGGCUCUUCUAUUGUCCAGGAGUUUGGAAUAAAAUGACCUGCAAUUUCCAUGUUCCUUGUACUACUCACAUUAAAGUUCUGCUGGGUGUUGUGUGGUGAUCUGUGUUUUGACAGCAUAUGCUGGUCAAGAAAGUGGGGAAGCUGAUCUAAACCCCAAAGUUUUGUGUUGUUUUGAGUUGUUUUUUUUUUCCCCACAAAAAAAGGCAAAUGCUUUUGCUUGGCAGUAAGGAAAACCAAUAGAUGAAUAGGAGAAUUAUUAUUGAAAAUAGGAAAAAAGUCACUGCGAUGGUGUUUACCACUAUGCUGAAGAGAAAAUUGCUUUUUUAUCUCAGAAGUACUUUCCUAGCUUUGGGUGGUAAGGGGAGUAAGCUAGUCUAGGACAUUGGUUAUUAUAAAGAAAAAAAUACAGUUUUUUUAAAUGAAAAUUUUAAAAAUAAAGUCUAUAUGCUUUGGUUGUAGACCUUAAUUAUUACUGUUCUGUCUUGCUUGAAUCAUGUGGUCAUUUUUUGUCUAUUGCCCUCUCUGUCCUUGGUUAGCAUGAGUUUAAAGCCUGGAUUGUUUUUGAAAGGCUUAAUGCUGGAAUGCAUCUGGGGGUUAAGUGGUAAUUCGUGGUCAUAAGGAGUCCAGGUAAGCAGCAAUAUCCAUCCCUGUGCAGCAACAUGUCAGCAAUUCGGUCCAGACAUGGAAAACCAUGAAUUUGUGUCAUCCCCUUAACUGUAUUCUGAGCUGUUUGAUGCAUUCAGAAAGCAGGGCAUUUCGGGGUGUUCUGUAGAUUUGCUGUGUAAGAGAGACCAGUUCUCUGCAUGCCAGCACGAACACAGCAUGAACCUCUUUGCUGAAGCUCUACCAGUAGAAGAAACAACUGCUAGAAGAUCUGUAUCCUGUUUUUAUAGUACAUAGAUCUAUGUUAUACUGACAGUUUCUGCUGACUUGGAGAAAUAAAUAAUGUCAAAAAUUACCCUUGUCCAGGAGGUGGUUCCUUUACAAUACUACUGAUGGUGAUUUUUUUAGAACUUUUUUCAAUCAUGCCUGUACCUCCCACCUCCAGCACUUUUGGUUGUGUCUUUGGUGUGCAUUCCAAAUGUGGAAAUGCUUUCCUUUAUGGUAAUAAUUUUAGGUGAAUGUCUGUCUUCCCCCUAGGAACCAGAUGCAGCAACUUACGACUUGCCACCUUCCAAAGAAAUCACUUGUUUGACAGGAGAUGAUCCUGAACAAGGAUCUCUGCUCUCCCAGAGCAGUGCAGAGAAGCUGAAAUUUCUUGCAUGUGUUUCCAUGCAGGAAUUUGAGAAGCCGACAAUAAAAUAUUGUGUAUAUAUUAACUUGUCUUCAGAUUGACAGUUGUAACUUAAUAGAAUUUGGCAAAUGCUGUAAAGAAGAGGAAAAAAAUCCCAUCUUUUUGUUUCUAUGGUGGUUUUAUAUGUGUUGAUUUAAUAUUAAUUGCUGGGCUGAUACCUUUGUGGCCUUCUGAUUCUGUGGCUUUGAAGUGAAAAAGAAAUCACAUUUGUAAACCAGCUCUGAGCAAAAUUAUGAUGGUUUUUGUGUAAACAUUUGAAAAGAGCCAGUCGUGAUGCUCAGCAAACCAGGUGAAUGGAUAUCUUGUUAACUUUUGUUAAUUCUGGGAUGGAAUCCAGUAUUCAAAAUACUUCAUCAUCUGGUAUUUUUGUUUUUCUCCAAGAACAGAGGAUGCCACAUGCUCUUACUGGAUUUAAUUUAGUGUUUCAUACACAAAUCUUUUUGAGAAAGUAUCUGGGAAUUACUUAUGUUAAAAGCCUCAACUGUUGUGUAUGUUUUUGUUAAUAUUUAUGUGCAUGUCUAAAAGGACAAAAUCUUCAAUAACCAAUCUAAACACUAUUUUGGCUGUAGUCUCUCUUCCCUGUCCAUUUUUUACAACAUCAGCCACUUUCAAAAUCAGGUAUUUUGCACAGGCAGUGGUAGAUACUAAAUCUUGUAAUGGUGCACAGGUGAGAGUUGUAAAGGUGCAAACAGCAGAAGCAGCUUUGGGACAUUGGGUGUGGCAGAGUCAAAGCCUCAGCUCAAGAAGCUGCAUCUUGCACUUACUGAACACAAACAAUGGCAGUUCUCCAUCCUUGUCUAAGCAGUUCAGGAUUCCCUCAGCAAUGGGUGAGUCAGGGCAGUUAAAUGAAAUAAAACAUCAUGCUUCAAUCUGCAGACUUAGUUGCUGUAGGACAGCUCUCUUAUAUUUUUGAAUCUUCAUUUGAUGUGUAGGACACAAUGGGGUUGUACUCAAAGCAUGUAAAUGUGUUCAUCAUAUGUAACUGGAAGAUAAGCAAAACAAACUGAAAUGUGCUUUUUUUUUUCUUUGCUCUAUUUUAUUUUCUUAAGUUUGCUAUUAUCAAGAGGCAGGUUAUGUUUAGAAUUUCUCUAGGAGUGCUCUGCUGUGUCAAUAAGAGUUGGAUCAGGCCUCUCACAGAGCUACAAGCACCAGGAUGAUGUGAGGAAGACAAGUGGUUUCUACUACAGCUUGACAUUGAUAAAAUCCAAAGCUCACCCUGCCUUUAAGUACAUUUUUCCUUGCUUCCCCCUUUAGCUGCACUUCAGUUGGGAACCUGUGAAGCAGGAAAUCCCUAGGAGCAGUUGGGAGAAUUUCCCAUCUUACAGUUUCUCAAGCGGUCUGCAAAAAACACGUGGGAAAUACAAGUCGGAGGAUCACAGUUUCUGUCUCCCAGGUGGAGUGGUUUGCUUCCAACCCCUGCCAUGGCUGGGUGGUUUGGUGCCGUGCAAGAAAGGGAGAUCCCGACAGCAGCUGGUGGUGCCCAGCAAUGGGACAGGAGGAGCGAGCAGGAACUGAUGCUCAGAAGUUCCACCUGAACAUGAGGAAGAAUUUCUUUUCCUGGGCAGUGACUGAGCACUGAACAGAUUGUCCAGAGAGGGUGUGGAGCCUCCCUCACUGGAGAUCUUCCAGAACCCUCUGGACACAAUUGUGUGCCAUGUGCUUGAGCAGGGAGGUGGGACCAGAUGCCCCACAGUGGUCCCCUCCAGCCUGACCCAUCCUGUGAUUCUGUGAACAAAGAGGAGAGGAAAGAGCCAAGUGUGUGAGGAGGGUUUGAGCAGUGGGUGGACAGAGGCCUUUUAUGUAGCUGAAUUCUUCUGACCAGUCACUCCGGCUCUUCUUUCUUUUCCUAUCAUGUUUUCCACUAAAUGUGUAGAAUAUGAAUGUUGUGUUAAAAUGACAAAGUGUCUGACAAAAAGCAGAAAUGAUCAUGUGGUUUGGGGUUGGUUUCGUUUUCCCCCCAGUCUUUGCCAAACAAAUGAUUGUGUCAGCACUUUGUCAAAAAUGACACAGUUUGGUCACCAAAAUGAUGGUGCCUCAGGAGGGGGUCCCAUGACAUUUAUUUGGGAAAAGCACCCCCUGCUUCUGACAGUCCCCUCCCUGCCACUGUUACUAACCCUGUGCCAUCCCUCAGCAAUAUUGAUUUAACUGUUUGCAAAGCUAUAUUGGAAACUGAGGCCAAGUCAUUGAAAUAGCCUCGAUUAAAAAAAUA